AACGAUGUCGUUAGGAAGCUAUUUUAAAUAGUCAUUCUCACAAUUGCUCCUUAUAAUUCGAUGACAAUAACAAUUUAAUUACAAAUAAAAAAAAAAAAAAGUAAAUUCUUGUUGAGAACAAAUUAUUGUUUUCAUACUGUCAUUUUUUUUUAAAACCCUACAUUGUAAAAAGAGUGUUGUUAAGAAUGGACUCAAUUUAACACCGCGCAGUGUCAAAGUGAAAUAACGCCAGUGUAGGCGGUGUAAUUUGGCGGUGUUAAAUCAGUGUAAAAAAAAAAAUCCACGUAUAGCAAUUAGAAAAAAAAUGUAUUACAUAUAUAAAAAAACCAAAAUUUAAUGAAUAUUAUCGGGAGGAAAUUUCAAUUUUGUUUUGUACUCAUUCAAAUAAUUAUUUAUGUUAUACGUAAUUUAUUUAACAAUUACACAAUUUUACGCCCACCAUUUCAAUCACCAAUAAUUUAAUUAAUUAAUAAAAAUACUGUUUAACUGUAGGGGUCGAGUAAUUAAAAAAUUCACAAAGUCAAAUAUUUUAACUCCGGUAAAGAAUAUUUCCACUGGCGUGGCGGCGAUGUUAUUUUACCACCGCUUUCGGUGUUAAAAUUUAACACCGAAAAUUUUCACACCUAAAUCGCUUGGACUUACCCCGGUUUUUUACAGUAUAGUAAACAAAUGAAAGGGUAGAAAUAUGAUUUAAAUCUAUAAUAUUUUUCAAAUAAAACUUGAAAUGUAGAAUAAAAAAAAUAAAAAUAAUUUAAUGUCUACUGACAUGAGUAUCAAGAUAUAAAAUAUAAUUAUAUAAUUAUUGUGAUAUUAAAAUGAUUCGAUCGAGUUGUUAAGGUUGUUUAUUUUGUCGAGUCUCACAAAGCGUAAUUGUUAAUGAAUCGUAUACGAUCGAGUCAUUAUGUCAGAGAAACAUUCCAACAUGUCGUCGACAGUAAAUACAAACAUAUCAGUGAAAUAAUUGUACAAAAUUUAUAUGCACACCGGUGACUAGAGGUAUUUUAAGUGUAUAUAAAAACAUGAAAAAAAAACCCAUGGGAGAGAGGUCAUCGUAACCAAAGUACUAACAUCAGCAUCAGCAUCACAUGACUGUUUGUGAAAGCAACGCAAGUGUUGAUUUGCAAUUGUAUGAUAGAAAUGAUAGAAAGUGUUUCUCGGGAAUAAUAUCUGAACAAGAUGCAAUGGUUCAACUCGAAGCAGCUCUCGGUACGUCAAGUAAUGAAGUUGAAAACAACCCCGCAAGACCAGAUGAUCCACAGAAGUUGCAAGAACUUGAACCGAAUCGCAGCCAAAGAAAUGAAUAUCAAGAGCAAGGAAAAAUAUUUACUAAUGGACAUGUCCCGCUGGCCAAUGAGAAGAAUAAAACUAUCGAUAAAGCCGGUUAUGAUUCUGUAAAGGCGAAGCUGGAUGAUCCCGCGUUCCGGACUCUGAACUGUGAAUCAAAAGAAAAAAAAAAUUUUUUUCUUUGGUAUUCUCAGUAGAGUUUACCUACAGUUUCAACCCAUGUAACACAAAUAUUACUACGGGUAUCAGUCGAAGGCAUUAGUCAUCAUACAAAAUGUUCUAACCCCCUAGACUGAUAUACUCAAACCAUAGUAAUAUUUUUGGGUUGGAUUAUAAUAUAGGUCCGGCAAUGUUCUAGAGAUGAAUUGCUGGACACGGAAGUGGGGUCACACCUGCGUAGCCAAACUGUCAAACAGUCCUCAGUAGAGGCGCUGUUUUUUAGUGUUUAAGUUUGAGUCAAUAUAUAUCAUACUAUUCAAAUUACAUGUUGCUUAAAAAAUUUUUUUUAAUUCCAUAAAAUUAUAAAGUAAAAAUAUAAUUACAUAUUAAGGAAAUAAAUCAGUGAAUACA
This is a long non-coding RNA of Microplitis mediator, 1854 nucleotides long. RefSeq lists it as uncharacterized. Lineage: Eukaryota; Metazoa; Arthropoda; Insecta; Hymenoptera; Braconidae. The record is from RefSeq and is a predicted model, not a curated record. The transcript is spliced from 4 exons.